AAUAAAUGCAGUCGUGAAUAUCCGUGCCCAACGUUUGACCGUCCGUCUUAUUUGAAAAAUUUGAAAAUAUUUAGUCACACAUAAAGUACUAUUCAUGUUUUAUCAUCUAAUAGCAAUAAAAAUACUAAUCAUAAAAUUUUUUUAAAUAAAACGAACGGUCAAACAUUGAACGUGAAUAGUGUAAAACUACAGUUAUU
RNAcentral lists this microRNA precursor (197 nucleotides) under Oryza rufipogon (brownbeard rice). RNAcentral's name for it is "MIR812 microRNA precursor family". It matches the Rfam family "MIR812 microRNA precursor family". Lineage: Eukaryota; Viridiplantae; Streptophyta; Magnoliopsida; Poales; Poaceae. The record is from Rfam by way of RNAcentral.